Molecule: ribosomal RNA, 233 nt
Filed under: uncultured bacterium
Lineage: Bacteria
Description: partial 16S ribosomal RNA
Rfam family: Bacterial small subunit ribosomal RNA
Source: RNAcentral
UGAGUAACCUGCCCUUAACUCUGGGAUAAGCCUGGGAAACUGGGUCUAAUACCGGAUAUGACUCCUCAUCGCAUGGUGGGGGGUGGAAAGCUUUUUGUGGUUUUGGAUGGACUCGCGGCCUAUCAGCUUGUUGGUGAGGUAAUGGCUCACCAAGGCGACGACGGGUAGCCGGCCUGAGAGGGUGACCGGCCACACUGGGACUGAGACUCGGCCCAGACUCCUACGGGAGGCAG